Molecule: antisense RNA, 75 nt
Filed under: Streptomyces sp. KS 21
Lineage: Bacteria; Bacillati; Actinomycetota; Actinomycetes; Kitasatosporales; Streptomycetaceae
Description: ASpks TB sRNA
Rfam family: ASpks TB sRNA
Source: RNAcentral
CUUCAGCGAACCCAGCCACAGCGGCUCCUCCGCGUCACGACCCUGCCCGUACGUGGCCAGGAGCGCCUGCGCCUC